GUGGGGAAUAUUGGACAAUGGGCGAAAGCCUGAUCCAGCCAUGCCGCGUGUGUGAAGAAGGUCUUCGGAUUGUAAAGCACUUUAAGUUGGGAGGAAGGGCAGUAAGUUAAUACCUUGCUGUUUUGACGUUACCGACAGAAUAAGCACCGGCUAACUUCGUGCCAGCAGCCGCGGUAAUACGAAGGGUGCAAGCGUUAAUCGGAAUUACUGGGCGUAAAGCGCGCGUAGGUGGUUUUGUAAGUUGGAGGUGAAAUCCCCGGGCUCAACCUGGGAACUGCAUCCAAAACUGCAUGACUAGAGUACGGUAGAGGGUAGUGGAAUUUCCUGUGUAGCGGUGAAAUGCGUAGAUAUAGGAAGGAACACCAGUGGCGAAGGCGACUACCUGGACUGAUACUGACACUGAGGUGCGAAAGCGUGGAGAGCAAACAGGAUUAGAUACCCCGGUAGUCC
Molecule: ribosomal RNA, 450 nt
Filed under: uncultured bacterium
Lineage: Bacteria
Description: bacterial SSU rRNA
Rfam family: Bacterial small subunit ribosomal RNA
Source: RNAcentral